GUGGUUAUGGUGAAGGGGUUAACACACCGGAUUGUGAUUCCGGCAUUCGAGGGUUCAAAUCCCUCUAACCACCCCA
Molecule: transfer RNA, 76 nt
Filed under: Pseudomonadota bacterium
Lineage: Bacteria; Pseudomonadati; Pseudomonadota
Description: Proteobacteria bacterium tRNA-His
Rfam family: tRNA
About the family: Transfer RNA (tRNA) molecules are approximately 80 nucleotides in length. Their secondary structure includes four short double-helical elements and three loops (D, anti-codon, and T loops). Further hydrogen bonds mediate the characteristic L-shaped molecular structure. tRNAs have two regions of fundamental functional importance: the anti-codon, which is responsible for specific mRNA codon recognition, and the 3' end, to which the tRNAs corresponding amino acid is attached (by aminoacyl-tRNA synthetases). tRNAs cope with the degeneracy of the genetic code in two manners: having more than one tRNA (with a specific anti-codon) for a particular amino acid; and 'wobble' base-pairing, i.e. permitting non-standard base-pairing at the 3rd anti-codon position.
Source: RNAcentral